GGUAAUCCAUAUGUUACCCUUUCACUAAUAUUUAGCACCAUCUGUUGGCAAUAAUAUAAACUGAAAUUAUAAUAAUAAUAAAAUUUAUCCUAUAGGAUUAAAGAAUGUAGUAUCUAGGUGUCUUUUAAUGGCAGAAUAUCACUAUCGAAUUUCAUGAAAAUCUGUUAAUUGGUUCAAAAAUUAUUAGUGGGGACAGAUAUUGGCCAAAUUUUAUAAACUUUUCAUUUCCUUUGAAAAUAGGCUAAUGACCAUCUCAAAGAAGUGCAGGACUCUACCUAUCUUAAAUCAUAUCAGAACACAUGAUAUAAAAAAUAAAAAACUGAAAACAUUGCAGUUCCACCGAAAUUUAUUUAAAAUUUGGAAAUCAUUUCUAAUAUUCACCAAAACAGAAAUCAGACUUACAAAAGUAUCAGCCAAAUCAUCUUUCUCCAUAGGUCCCAAACAUGGGAUAUUUCAAUAAAAAAUAAUCAGAAAAUCUUAUUAACAUUUUUGGAAUUACUCACUUUAAGGUACAUCCUAGAAUAUUCUCAGACUGACACCAAAUUCUGUUAUCCUGGAACAAACUCAACAAAUCCCAUUUAUCUAUACUAUCCAAAUAAAUCAGAUUAAAAGGAUGAGGCAUCACUUUGACAUCUUCCAAAAAUUACUUUUGUAUCUUAGCACUCUAUAAUCCAGUAAAUGGAUAAAGAAGAAGAGGCACCUAAAACUCAAUUCUGGAAAUACUAUAACAGUUUAUUUAGAAACUACUUGUUUUAUGCCAUUAGACAUUCAUCAAACUGCCUAGGACAGAGGACUUUGGUCCUCCUUCUCAUCUUAAUUCCAGAAACUGUUUUAAUCAUUUGUAUAUUUGUAUAGUUUCUGUAUUUAUAAUUGUAUUGAUAAUAAAUAAACAAUGAUG
Molecule: long non-coding RNA, 898 nt
Filed under: Androctonus crassicauda
Lineage: Eukaryota; Metazoa; Arthropoda; Arachnida; Scorpiones; Buthidae
Source: RNAcentral